Molecule: ribosomal RNA, 412 nt
Filed under: Oudemansiella canarii
Lineage: Eukaryota; Fungi; Basidiomycota; Agaricomycetes; Agaricales; Physalacriaceae
Description: eukaryotic LSU rRNA
Rfam family: 5.8S ribosomal RNA (bases 1-86)
Source: RNAcentral
UGAAUUGCAGAAUUCAGUGAUCAUCGAGUCUUUGAACGCACCUUGCGCCCUUUGGUAUUCCGAAGGGCAUGCCUGUUUGAGUGUCAGUAAAUUCUCAACUCUCCUUGCUUUGUUGUCAAGGCUGAGGUUGGAUGGUGGAGGCUUGCCGGACGGUAAACGUUCGGCUCCUCUGAAAUGCAUUAGCGGUACAACCAUUACUUGGCUACGCUAAGCUGUGAUAAUAUCUAAGCUAGCUAGUUCAGAGUGUUGGCAGAGUUCGGGUUUUGAAGGGUUUUGCUUCGCGGCAAUCUCUUUGCGUUCGCUUGCUUCGGCAGGUGAUACAUAUGCGACUCUGUGCAAGCGUUGACAGCUUCUAACCCGUCUUUCAUUUCUCGAUGAAGGACACCUUACUGAUUAUUGACCUCAAAUCAGG